GGUGCUGGUAUUACGUAUAUAUGAUAGACUCCCGUAGACCUGGUAGAUGACAAUACACUGACAAUUUAAAAGCAUUACAUAAAAAAAGAAAGCUAUCUUAAAAUAGGAAAUCUCCCCCAAAACAAAAUAUUUAUUAUACAUAUAAAAAUAUAGAGUUCUGCUCUCAAGAUACAAAUCACAAUAUAAAUAUGCGAAGGCUUGCAAAGCCAUGUAGAUUUCCAUAUUUAUUGAGCAUCCAUAAAGAUAGCUUCACACAAACUACCACUGAGAUUUGCAUUAAACCCCUUACUUUAGUAAUUUGAUGCAUGUGUGGUAUAUCAGUAGGUGCUCAUUUCAAAUGACAAAUAUUGAAGCAUUUAAUUCAGAGAACAAUUGUAGGAGUGCAGUUAUAAUGUUGGGUCCAUUUUGGGUUAUCGGCAAAAUAGAAUUAAAUGUAUCACUUAUAAUGCAAUCUAGCUUGGAUUAGAAAAUAAUUUGGCAAAUAGUGGAGGUUUGGAGACCCAAUUUAUAUCAAAAUGUACAUCUUUGUGUUAAAAGGUUUCUAUAGGAUAAAAUAAUGUAAAUGUGAUUUAAUACACAUGAGUUAAUAUACAACUAGGUAAUUAAAAAAAAAAGUUAAUUACAUUCUGUUGAUCUAAACAUGAAACAUUUUGCACAUUAAAUGGGAUUGUAAUGCACAUCUCUGAUAAACAUUAUUUUAAUGGAGUCUAUCAUAUUAAGGUUUUCAUUAACAUAUUGAAUAAGCAUACUCCUUAGAAAUUACCCAAGCUAAAUACUGUUCUAGCAAAUGUUGCUGGCUUACAUCAGUUUUAGUAUUAUCCGUGUUGUUACAGCUCUUGUAAUGUACCCUUUUAACUCAUCCCAGUCCUGUUUGUCAAUAUUUUACACCUAUCCACAGAUUGGAAACGUUUUGGCCACAUUGCAAUGCUUGGUGUUACUGUGGUUUUAAAAAAAAAAGUGCUUUAUCAGUGAGGAUUUUUAUUUGGAUAAUUGUCGUUGUUAUUCGAACAGAACAUUAUAUACCAAGAUUCUAUUUAGUGGUACGGCAACUGGUGCACAAAUAUCUUACAACAAAUCACAUCCAUUUAAUGUAUGUAAGAUAGCUCAGUGGUUAAAGAAGCACGUUUGUAUAUCUUAAAGUAACAUGUUUUAAAUUCAUCAAAGUCACAUCAGCUUUUCAUCCUUCUAAAGUAAUUCACAAACGGAGGAUACAGCACUCACACUUAGGAAUCCAGGUGCUUAUCAAGGCCAGGGUUGGCUAAACCCAGUUUAGUAGAUAAAAUAAAUUAGGUCCAGUCCCUCAGCAUUGCUGCAGAAAGAUAGGUUUAUUGGAACAAAAAGUGCAACGUUUCAGCCUACACAGAGGCCUUUAUCAUAAAGGCCUCUGUGUAGGCCGAAAUGUUGCACUUUUUGUUCCCAUAAACCUGCCUUUCAGAAACAAUCCUGAGUGACUG
Non-coding RNA from Pelobates cultripes (western spadefoot toad), 1454 nucleotides. NCBI's taxonomy places the organism in Eukaryota, Metazoa, Chordata, Amphibia, Anura, Pelobatidae. The record is from the annotation of a GenBank genome assembly.